This 492-nucleotide ribosomal RNA is filed under the name uncultured bacterium. RNAcentral describes it as "partial 16S ribosomal RNA". It matches the Rfam family "Bacterial small subunit ribosomal RNA", at positions 29 to 507 of the family's 1533-position model. The record is from RNAcentral.
AGUGAACGCUGGCGGUAGGCCUAACACAUGCAAGUCGAACGGCAGCACAGUAAGAGCUUGCUCUUACGGGUGGCGAGUGGCGGACGGGUGAGGAAUACAUCGGAAUCUACUUUUUCGUGGGGGAUAACGUAGGGAAACUUACGCUAAUACCGCAUACGACCUACGGGUGAAAGCAGGGGAUCUUCGGACCUUGCGCGAUUGAAUGAGCCGAUGUCGGAUUAGCUAGUUGGCGGGGUAAAGGCCCACCAAGGCGACGAUCCGUAGCUGGUCUGAGAGGAUGAUCAGCCACACGGGAACUGAGACACGGUCCAGACUCCUAAGGGAGGCAGCAGUGGGGAAUAUUGGACAAUGGGCGCAAGCCUGAUCCAGCCAUACCGCGUGGGUGAAGAAGGCCUUCGGGUUGUAAAGCCCUUUUGUUGGGAAAGAAAAGCAGCAGGUUAAUACCCCGCUGUUCUGACGGUACCCAAAGAAUAAGCACCGGCUAACUUCGUG